Molecule: ribosomal RNA, 465 nt
Filed under: Vreelandella stevensii
Lineage: Bacteria; Pseudomonadati; Pseudomonadota; Gammaproteobacteria; Oceanospirillales; Halomonadaceae
Description: partial 16S ribosomal RNA
Rfam family: Bacterial small subunit ribosomal RNA
Source: RNAcentral
CCUACGGGGGGCUGCAGUGGGGAAUAUUGGACAAUGGGGGCAACCCUGAUCCAGCCAUGCCGCGUGUGUGAAGAAGGCCCUCGGGUUGUAAAGCACUUUCAGUGAGGAAGAACGCCUGGUGGUUAAUACCCAUCAGGAAAGACAUCACUCACAGAAGAAGCACCGGCUAACUCCGUGCCAGCAGCCGCGGUAAUACGGAGGGUGCGAGCGUUAAUCGGAAUUACUGGGCGUAAAGCGCGCGUAGGUGGCUUGAUAAGCCGGUUGUGAAAGCCCCGGGCUCAACCUGGGAACGGCAUCCGGAACUGUCAAGCUAGAGUGCAGGAGAGGAAGGUAGAAUUCCCGGUGUAGCGGUGAAAUGCGUAGAGAUCAGGAGGAAUACCAGUGGCGAAGGCGGCCUUCUGGACUGACACUGACACUGAGGUGCGAAAGCGUGGGUAGCAAACAGGAUUAGAUACCCGAGUAGUC